AGGAGGUUUACAGGACUCAAACAGCAUGGAUCAUUCCUGAUGCUGAGCUUCGGGAAGAUUUGCGAAUUUCAACAUCUCUGAAGGUGAUUCAGGCCUAUCGAACAUUUGUUGGAAGGCAUACAAAUCACAUAAGCGACAAGCACAUCAAGUACAGUGCUGAUGACUUACAAAAUUAUUUGUUGGAUCUCUUUGAGGGAUCUCAAAAAUCAUUGCACAAUCCCCACAGGAGAUGAUUUAAGAAUAGAUUAGAUUUAUUUUUGGAAUGUAAUGAGUUAAGGCUUUCGGCUUUAUGUCCUCUGCUAAUGUAAAUCUUAUUUUCUCCUCCUCUGCUCUUGUAAGUUCUAUUUGAUCAAUAACCCAAUGUUUCUAUGCCAAACCUCAACUAGUAGUUGUGUCUUAAAUCUAAAUAUUAGUUCCAGAAAA
RNAcentral lists this unclassified non-coding RNA (423 nucleotides) under Hevea brasiliensis (rubber tree). Lineage: Eukaryota; Viridiplantae; Streptophyta; Magnoliopsida; Malpighiales; Euphorbiaceae. The record is from RNAcentral.